AGCAUUGGUGUUCCAGUCGCCACUGGGA
Molecule: small RNA, 28 nt
Filed under: Bombyx mori (domestic silkworm)
Lineage: Eukaryota; Metazoa; Arthropoda; Insecta; Lepidoptera; Bombycidae
Description: ovarian small RNA-12055
Source: RNAcentral